CAAAGCUAGCCAUGGCAGGGGAAGGGGAGCGCCGCUUGUGGGGAGCUGACCAAGUGUGGUGUCGGCCGCGCUGCCUGCCAACAGACAGCAACACUGGUUUUCCACUGCCGACCAUUCAUUGGACUUGGACAGCUUUGCUCCUUCCCUGGGACCAAGUCAACAAGCUGGGACCAGAGGAGCUGUGGCUGUAGCAUGCAGGAAAAGAGUUAUCCCAGUCAGCCUGAGUUGCACCAAGUUUGUAAUUUUCAAGAAAGGCCAGUUUUGUGGAUCGACAGGUGCGAUGUUAUCCAGAUAAAGUGCAAAGGCACGUUGGUUCAAGUUGUAGCUGCUCUCAGACUAAAAUGGAAACAAGUCAGGGAAAGACCAGAAGACUGCAGAGAGGCGAGCAGAGCUGAACAAACUCAAGGAGCCUCCUGGGAAGUAAGUCAAUCUAAGGAAUAGCUGCCAAAGCCCAGGCAGAGAUGCCUGAAAAGUACCUCUGAGCAAGAGAGGAAGAAUAACACUGAGGACCACCAUUUGACUCAUCACGUGGCUCAGUCCCUAGGGACUUGUGCCCAAAUCACAGGGAAAGAAAACAACCUGGAUAGAAUGUUUUACCCAUUGUUUCUUUAAGACUUUGAGAGUAAGGGAUCGUACCAUUGUGGAACCAGUGUAACAGACAAUGGUACAAGGUUGGGAAAAAGGGAUUCCUCCCAUUGCAGAAGAUAUGAGCAGAAGUAGCACCAGUAUCAGGGGUGAUACCAGCUUAGCAGGGAAACACAGCAAUGCUCUUAAUGGUGGAUAGAAUGGCAUUGUGCUCCUACUGAAAGAUGCCAAGAGCCUUAGCCACAGUAGGAAGCCAAGCAAUGGCGUGAGGUGGUAUUUUGAGAGCAAGAGAAGACAGAACCCUUGGUAUAACUCUUUUGGCACCAUCCGUGGGGAACACCAGCAGCAACAGUGAUGAAAGUACCGGGGAAACAAACACUUUGACAACCCAAACUGAGGAGGUUUAUUCGUCCAUCAGGUACACCUCUGGGAAUACCUGAAAAUAACUAGGGGGAUGGUUAGAGAGGGGAUAGAAAUUCAAUAUUUUGCUGUUUUCUUAAAUGUCUAAGGGGAAAUAAAAGUCCAUUUAAUUUUAAUUAAAAUUAAUUCACUUUCAUUAAAAUUCAUUUCUUUCAUCUACCACAAUGAGGCCAUUCAAGAGAAGACAAGACUUAUAAAAAAUGUAAUCCCCAACUUUGGAGUUUAAUGGAGGCGGGCUAGGUCCAAGAGUUAUAACCUGGCCUUAGGGUGUCAAGGAGGUAGCUUUCCAGGGAUAGCUCUAUAGAAAGAGCUUAUGUGACUCUCUUGAGGAUGGAGUAAUGUGUCUGAAAGUAAUUGAUCAAUGGCCUGGUUCCAGUAGAUUCUUGAGGUUCAUAUAUUAGGAAAUGCAUGUUUGCAGGAAGAAUUCCAUAGCUGACUGGAGCUGUGUUAGUUCACUUUAGAGGCUACUUCUAGCUCUAAGGUUCUAUUGUUCUUUGAAAAGUCAAAAAAAUUAGGAGUGAGAAGAAGAUAUCAAGAUGAUCUCCUUUCCAAGGUGCCAUCUGAAUCAGGACAAGCUUCACCUAUUUUUCUGGCUUUCAGGAAAUGAUAGGAAAACAAGUUUACACUCUCUCUUAAUUUGCACUUCAAAACUAGACUUCUCCUAAAAUUGUUUUCAAUAGAAAUUUUCACUGUCAUAUUCCUUUAUGGAAUUGCUUUCUUUUCAUUACCCAGAAGGAAAGAGCUACAGAGGUCUCCAAAUUUCUGUUGGAGCCUCUGUGUCUGCACUCAGUGAUGCCAUGGAUUUCUGUUAUUUAGCUGUCACUGAAAUCUAAAUUGUAUCAUUUUCCCCUUUCGUCUAAACAUUGCCCUCAUCUCAUGGUAACCUUAUUUUUUAAAAUGCUCCACUGAAUUUCCAACACCUUUCAUAUAUUUAAUUUCCCAGGGAAUUUCACAACAGGGCCCUGAAAGUUUGGACAGUGCCAGAUCAAGGGUGUAUCUGAGCCUUGACAAUACCCUAGGAUUGGAGCAGAAAGGAAAUAACCUUUGCUUUCUUCCUACUGAAGAUUCAGCAAAGAAUAUAAUCCUACAGAGAGCCAGCUCUGGCUUCCCUGUGCUCCAUUUCUUUCUGAAUAUUUCCAAAGAGCAACACCUCGCUACCCAAACUGUAAUGCUAUUACAUCUAGAUAGCUAUUCCUUGUAUAUGUCACAUAUGACACUGCAUAAGUUCCCCUAGUGGAAUUUCUGGGCCAAGGGGUAUAUAUGUGUGUGUGUGUGUGUGUGUGUGUGUGUGUGUGUGUGUGUACACUUUCAACAGAUUGCCCUCAGAAUGGCUCACCAGUUUCCACUUCCACCAGCAGUGCAUAAGAAUUCAUUCUCUCACAUCUGUGCCAACAGUAAUACCAUUUGACUUUCUCAUUUUUAUCAAUCUGAUAGGUGUAAAGUGAGUGUCAUUAUGGUUUUAAUUUAUAGC
Molecule: non-coding RNA, 2476 nt
Organism: Callithrix jacchus (white-tufted-ear marmoset)
Lineage: Eukaryota; Metazoa; Chordata; Mammalia; Primates; Cebidae
Source: RefSeq, a predicted model, not a curated record